CCGGGUGGCAGCAGUGAGGAAUAUUGGUCAAUGGACGAGAGUCUGAACAAGCCAAGUAGCGUGAAGGAUGAAUGCCCUAUGGGUUGUAAACUUCUUUUAUAUGGGAAUAAAAUGUUCAACGUGUGGGAUUUUGUAUGUACAAUAUGAAUAAGGAUCGGAUAACUCCGUGCCAGCAGCAGCGGUAAUACGGAUGAUCCGAGCGUUAUACGGAUGUAUUGGGUUUAAAGGGAGCGUAGGUGGAUUGUUAAGUCAGUUGUGAAAGUUUGCGGCUCAAACGUAAAAUUGCAUUUGACAGUGGCAGUCUUGAGUACAGUAGAGGUGGGCGGAAUUCGUGGUGUAGCGGUGAAAUGCUUAGAUAUCACGAAGAACUCCGAUUGCGAAGGCAGCUCACUGGACUGCAACUGACACUGAGGCUCGAAAGUGUGGGUAUCAAACAGGAUUAGAUACCCCUGUAGUC
RNAcentral lists this ribosomal RNA (457 nucleotides) under uncultured bacterium. RNAcentral's name for it is "partial 16S ribosomal RNA". It matches the Rfam family "Bacterial small subunit ribosomal RNA", at positions 341 to 795 of the family's 1533-position model. The record is from RNAcentral.